GGGAUGACUUUGAUCUUGGGAGAUUUUUGGAGAUGGCAAAGUGCUUCUAAACAUGUUUGGCAUGGUCUCCUUCAGGCUGGUGGAUACCUCAGGAUGGUGGCGUUGGCAUGGAAGGAAGGACUGUGUCUGUGAGGGAUGAUCAUCCUCUCAUGUGAUCCUUGGAGAUGCCAGGAAGCCCCUUGACACAUGUGGCAUGGGCUCCUUCAGAGGCUUUUGGAUCCGUCGUGAAUGUGGCAUGGGCAUGCAAAGAAAGACAGAGGCUGCAAGGGAUAAACUUCAUCUUGGGAGAUCCCUGGAGAUGGCAGGGAACCCAUGGACACAUGUGGCAUGGGCUCCUUUGGGUGCCGGUGGAUCCCUUCAUACGGUAAAGCCAGAGUUGGGUAUCAACCAGAUACACUGCAGGGGAUCAGAGGACAUGGCCUUUGUGUACUGCACAUCUGUCAGAUUUUCUCAAGCACACCCGUGUUUCCUCUUCACCUCCCACGUGGAAGUGAUGAAUUGGCCAGGACCAUGUUGGUGAGGGACAAUCAUCAUCUCAUGUUAACCUCAGAGAAGCCAGGAAGCUCCUGGACACACAUGGUGUAGGCUUCCUUGGAGGCUGUUGGAUCUCUCCUGAAUGUAGUGUUGGUGUAAAAGGCAAACCCGUGUCAUGAGGGAUGGUCAUCAUCUUGUGUGAUCCUUGGAGAUGGCAGGAAGCCCUGGACAUACAUGAUCACUGGAUGUGGCAGGGAGUCCUAGGACAUGUGUGGUGUGGGCUUCUUCAGGUGCUGGUGGUGUUGGCAUGAGGAAAGGAGGUAUCUUCGAGGGACAAUCUUCUUCUUGUGCGAUCCUUGGAGAUGCCAUGAGGCCCCUGGACACAUGUGGUGUGGGCUCCUUUGGAGGCUGUUGUAUCCCUUCUGAAUGUGGCGUGGGCAUAGAAGGAAGGCCAGUGGCCACGAGGGACAAUCUUGGUCUUGGGAGAUCCUGGAAAUGAUAGGGAGUCCCUUGAUAUGUGUGGCAUGGGCUCCUUCAGGUGCUAGUGGAUUCCUUAGGAUGGGACAAACACUGUGCGUGGAUCGAUGAUGACUUCCAUAUAUACAUUCCUUGGAAAGCUGAACAAAAUGAGUGAAAACUCUAUACCGUCAUCCUCGUCGAACUGAGGUGGUGUUGGCAUGAAAGGCAGGCUUGUAUCAUGAGGAAUGAUUGUCAUCUUGUCUGAUUCUUGGAGAUGGCAGGAAGCCCCUGGAAACACAUGGUGUGGACUCUUUCACAGGCUGUUGAAACCCUCCUGAAUGUGAGGCCAGAGACAGGCAGACAGCAGAUGUAUUGCAGGGAGCUGGAUGACAUGGCCCUUGGAACCUGUGCACAUGCCUGCCUUUCUGAUGCACGUCCAUGUUUUCUCUGCACCUCCCCGGUGGUGUUGGUAUAAAAAGCAGGCUUACAUCAGCAAGGGAUGAUUGUCGUCUCAUGCGAUCCUGGGAGAUGGCAGAAGUCCCGGGACACAUGGAGUGUGGGCUCUUUCGGAGGCUGUUGGAUCCCUCCUGAAUGUGUUGUGGCCAUGGAAGUAAGGCCAGUGGCUACGAGGGACAGUCUUCAUCUUGGGAGAUCCCUAGAGAGGGCAGGGAGCCCCUUGACAUGUGGAAUGUGAUCUCUGUUGGGUGCUGGUGGAUCCCACAGGUGGUCUGGCAUGGAAGAAGGCCAGAGGCUGCGAUGGAUCAUCUUUGUCUUGGGAGAUUCCUGGAGAUGGUGGGGAGCCCCUGGGCACGUGCAGCAUAUGUGGCGUGGGCUUCUUCAGGUGCUGGUGGAUCCCUCAGGAUGCUUUUCAAGGUUUUUCUAUGAGUUCUGUUAAAGAGUCUGAAAAUGGAGCGUAGAAGACAUGCUUCGAUUUCCAGGAUGGUUGUGUUUUCCAGAGAGGCGGAGUUCAUUGUGGAACCAGCACAGAUUUUCAUACGAAAGUUAUUUCUUUUUAACCUCAAAAAGUGACAGAAUGGAGUGUAUCAUGAAAAAGUCUGACAUCAAAACCUCAAAAUGUGAUAUUGAUUGGGUGAGAUAGAAUUCCAUGGAAUUUCAUUGCCAAACCAGUGAAGUGCUAAUUUUGACAUUUGUACCAGCUAACGUAGCUGUGAAGAAACACACCAAUACACUUCUAAGGACAGCAUAGACCAAGAUCUAGGUUUCAUAUGGAUGAAUUUAUUCUUCCCUUUGAGGCAAGACAAGAAGGAAAGAAAGUAUUGGGAAUAAUGCUGCCCUCCCAUCCUCAAGGGCCAGUGGGAACUCUAAUAUUGAUUGGUUUUCACAGAAUUCCAUGGACUUUAACUGCUGAACCAAUGAUGCACUGAUUUUGUCACUUGUACCAGCUAACGCAUCUGGGAGGCAACAAAACAAUACUCUCCUGAGGUUAAUGUGGACCAAAAACUAGAUUUCAUAUAAAAGAGUUUAUUCCUUCUACUUGAGGUGUGACAUGAAGGAAAGUAAUGGAAAUAAUUCUGCCCUCCCAUUCUCAAGGGCCAGGGGGAAUUCAAAUAUUGAACGGAAGUGAUUUUGGAAUUGCAUGGAAUUCUCACUGCCAUCCCAAAGAAAUGCUGAUCUUGUCACUCUUACCUGUUUCAUUCCCUGGGGGCAGAACAAAAGGACGCACUCCAAAGAUCGGCAUGAACCAAGAACUGGGUUUCAUAUAAAAUAUUUUAUUCUGUCCUCUUGAGAUGUGACAUGAGAAAAGUAUUGAGAAUACUUCUAUCACCUCAUCUUCAAGAAUCCGUAGGAAUUCUCCCAUGGUGGACUUUACGGUUAACCUGAACAGGUCUUGGAAAAAGGACUUUAAACAUUCUCCUGUUCUGUGGAAUAAGUAUACUUUUUUCUGGACAUACACCUUGUCAGUGAGUUCCAUGUGAUACUAGAGUUGCAUAGAUUUUUAACCUUUACGCCAAUGAAGAUCUGAGGCAAACAUUGCCCCUUUUUUAGAAGUUUGCAUUUGUCACUGAUAACUGUAAUAAUUGAUCUUGUUGAAAAGCCUGGGAAAUGAAGAUCUGAUAUGUCACUUUUACCGGCUUCCUCAACUGAAAAAGAAUACAAUGAAACACGCUGAGAAUUUUUGUGCUUUCUCAGUCUUGCUGAUGAUCUUUCUAUGGGCCUGAAGCGUGGAGAGUGCCAGAGAGGCUGAUCCUCAGCAGUGUGGCAGAGGAAAGUUGGGUGCGACUAAGGGGUAUGCGGUGCCCACAUGCCACUGGGUCCUCAGCAGUACCACCUGAUUGGAAGUGAUAUUGGUGGAAGACAACAUUUUGCCGCUUGGAAUUCUCACCUCCACACCAAAGAAGUACUGUUUUUGUCAUUUGCACCAGCUUCUUUCUCCAGGAAAGAUCAAAACGAUGCACUGCAAGUGUGAUUGGUCCAGAUAGCUGCCUUAUCCAACUGCCUCCUUUGGACCACUUCAUCAUGGGACAGCUUGAUGCAAUCUACUUGACAAGACCCUGGAACCCCACACCCCUCAUGGAACCAGUGUCCACCUCCCAGUCACAGUGUGACCCCAGGGAACUCUUGCCUGCUUGCUUUAAACCCACCACUUAAAAGUCUCCACAGAAAACCUGUUUGAAUAGUACCCUUGACCCAAUAAGGGCAUUGGCCCCUGGGUGUCUCUCUCUCUCUCUCUCUCUCUCUCUCCCUCUCUCUCCCUCUCUCUCUCUCGCUCCCUGACCUCUGCGUGUGGACUCCAGGCAUGCCAUAUACCCCUCAGGACCUGAAGCAAAAGAAUGAAUUAAAGAAAACUCCAGAGAAUGAGCUGACAACCUACUCCCUGGUCAGUGGCUCUCCAUGCCUACCUGUGGUCUCUUGGACACCCUUGCAGAAGAUGACUUCCUGGGAACUCUUCUGGGAGUGAAUGUUAUCAGCAAAUUCCCAAAACAACACCCCUUAGACAAAAAGCCUCCUCACCUAUGCAUUGCCUAGACCACCCACUAAAGGUGAUGGCCACAAAGAGGUGGAUUUGUUGAGUUGGUGCCAUUCCUUCUACUGCCAGCUUCACCAAAACAAUGACACAGUCUUCCUUCCGCAUGGAGACUCUUCUCUUUCCUGUGUUGCAGUGGAUGCCUCCUGCAGAUAAGAAAUGCUUAACUGAGAAAUGCUCAUGUUGGGAUAUCAUCGAUGAGACUUUAAUUUGGGCAUGGUGACUGUUUCCCUUGCUGCCACUUGACUCAAUCCCAGGAGCCUCAGUAGAGGAUAUAAUAUUACACAAGAUGCUCAAAAUGGUGGAAUUGCUCAGUGCUCCCAUAAAUAUACAUUUAUAAUUUUCAUUUGCCACAUGGUAAACUGAAAAAUACAGACUAUAUUAAAAAGAAACUGCAUGAUUUUUUUUCAAAAAUUCAAAGCAUAUUUAAAUAAUAUAUAAAUUAAAUGCCCUCCUCUCUUCCAAUUCUGUCCCUAUAGUUUUCCUCUAUUAAGUGAACUACAUGCAUUCUUUUAGUGGAUAGAUGCACACAAACACACAAGCCAUUAUGGGGAAGGAUCCACGUGUGUGGCCAUAUUGUAACACAUUUUUCUGCAAAUCACCUCUUUCAUUUAACAGCCCUUAUUCAAUGGCCUUUUUCUUUUUCAGUAGUACAUACACAUCUGUGUCAUUUGUUGAAUGACGACAUGAAUGUUUUGUAGAUAAAAUAUAAUUAAAUGUUUUAAGCAUUUCUCACUCAUAGAUAUUUAUGUUAGCACCAAAUUUCUGUGCAAUGAACCUCCCUAUAUAUCAGUAAUUUUGCAUUUGUCUAUAAUAUCAUAAUAAAUUACUUAUCAGUUGAAUUACUGGGAUUAAGUAUGUGCACACUUUAUAUUUAUAUUUUGAAAAUUAUUGCAAGAUUGCCUUCAAAAAUGUGGUUAACAACUUUAUCUUCAAAUGGCAAUGAAUGAGAUUGCCAGCUUUCCUACAGCCUCACAGACAAUGGAUUUUAUAAAUAUUUAACAUUUUUGCCAAUGUGAUCACCCAAACUAUUGUCUUAAAUUGUAUCUCUUUUGUUUUUGAGUUUGGUCAUUUUUUCAUGUUUAUUAGCCAUCUGUAUUUUUUAAUUUCUUCUUUAUGUCCAAUUUUGUGGGUGGGAGGAGGAUUUAGUCUCUUCCUGAUUUCGAAGAGCUCAUUUACUAUUUCGGGAAAUAAGAUUUGGAUUGUCAACCAUUAUAGCUAUUUUUUACACACUUUUCAACUUUGUUUUUGUUAUAAGAAUGUGUAUGAUUGUUACAUGUCCAAGUAUAACCAUGUUCGCUUUUAUGGCUUCUGAGUUUCAUGUCAUUUUUGGAAAGAUAUAUAUAUUGAGUCCAUAAAACCCUUCACCUAUGUUAAAUUCUAAUUCUUUUGUGUUUUUUUAAUUCAAAUUCUUAAAUCAUGAGAAAUUUUUUUGUUUUGAAAUCUUAAAGUUGCCAAGUUACUUGCCAUUACUUGCGAUUAUUUGCCAAUAAUUGCCCAUUUAUCUGUACCGCCAUCUUGCGCAUAUGCUGUACUCUCAUCUGUGACUGGCUCCAUUUUUGUUCUGUGGAUUUGUGUGUCUCUUCUUCUGCCUCCUGUCUCGUGUCUGCUCGUUGGAAGAAAUUACAGUUUAGACUGCAAUUUCAUCAACUUUAAUAAAUCAAUUGAGGGGAGAAUUGGUUUUUAAAAAUAUUAAGUAAGUCUUCGUAUCCAAGGACAAGGUAUGUCUUUUCUUAUUCAAUAAUUUUAAUUACUGUUAAUAUUUUCACUGUGGUGAUGGGAGUUUUUCUUUUAAUUUAUUUUCUUGUUCAUUUUUUGUAUCUAAAGUUUUUGUUUUGUUUUGUUUUGGGGGUAAGUUGUCACCUUACUGUUUCUUGUUGCUUUUCAGAUUUUUUCAAAGUAUAGACUAAAUCCUUCACAAAUAUUUAAAGUUUUUAUUUUCCCCCUUCAUAUUGAUCCUGAUUUUAGUUAUGUUGACAAAGUCCACAGACUGUUACUAUCAGAACACUUGAACAGUUAUGGAAAUAUUACCUACCCUUGAUUUAAUCAGAGUUUAAUGGUAUGCUUCUUUGGUUUGACUGGCACAUUGUCGCUGGUCAUUUCCUCCCAAAGACCACCAGAAAGAGCUAUGAUCAAGCAAAGCUGAGUUUGUUAAACUUACCUGCAGCAAGGGAAAACACCACCUUGAUAGGGUUUAAUAAUGUUUCAAAAUCAAGAAAUGAGGCUUUGGGGUCUGGGCAGGGAACUAAUUAGAAAUGGGCAAAAUUUGUCAUGCAAUACCUUGUGGGAAAGUGAGAUGAGGUUCUUAAUGUGAGUAUUGAUGGUGAAAUCAUUUUCUAGGUGAGCUGUUUGCCUAUAUAAAGAUGUUAUCAAUGACAGAAGAACUAUUUGCCUAGAUAAACAAACUGAAUUUAUUUAUUGGUUUACAGUUUUAUCUUGCUGGGCAGGACUCUGCUGGGGGUGGUAUCAGGUCUUAUUCCCAAUAGGUAAGUUAUUUGGAUAUGGGUGGUCUUAAUCAUCAAUGUGUAAAAUGCUGAUUUUAAGUGCGAAAUACUUUGUCUACCAUGUUAGGAAAGUCUGCCACCUUUUAUCUUUUUUAAGGAAUUUUAAUCAAAACCAGGUGGUAGAUAUAAUCAAAUUGUUUUGCAGAAUCAAUUUUCCUGUUCUCUUUAAAGACUUUUAUCACUGUGAAUUAAUUUACUAUUAUUGCAACUUCCUUUAAUUCCUUGAAUGAACAGACCCUACUGGUUUUAAAAAUGUUUUAUUCUUUUAAUUUACUACUUAAUUGUGGGUAUUUUAAUUUGAUUUGGAAUUUUUACAAGUAUACAACUAAGUGAAAUUGAUCUGUGAUUUUUCUUUUUUGUGCUAUUUUUGUCAUGUUUUGAUAUCAGAUAUUCUGGUUGUGUUAAAAUAAUUUUGAGGAUUUUCUUCUUAUACUGUGUUCUAGAGUGGGUAAAAAAGCCCUAGUCUCACUAUCAGUGUUUAAGUGAACACAUCAGUGACAUCAUCUGGACUCUCCUUUGUUUUUGCUGGUUUGGAGUUAGGACAUCUAGAAGUUUUUUUCUUUUUUUCCUUUUUUUGUAUGGUUAUUGCUUGUUCUUUGUUUUGUGUCAAAUUUAACCUGUUUUCUCUUAGCAAAUCACAGCUCAUGCAGAUUUUCAAACACAUUAGCCUUGUUAUACAAAGUGUUCUUUCAUCAUUCUAUUAAAUUUCCAUUUUCAUUCCAGUUAUAGUUAUUUCUGCUGUGCCUUUGUUAAUGAAUAAGUUUAAACAGUGGAUGUUUAGCAUCACUAGCCUUCCCCUUCCAUCUCCCUUAAUCAGGACCUUGGUAUAAUUUAUCAGGUAUUUUUUAAGGUUCUAAUUUACUUAUAUAUAUUGUUUCUGUAUUCUUUUGUUUCUUUUCUUAAUAAAUUCUUAAA
This 7338-nucleotide long non-coding RNA is filed under the name Homo sapiens (human). Its description in RNAcentral is "small nucleolar RNA host gene 14". The stretch from base 1053 to 1144 matches the Rfam family "Small nucleolar RNA SNORD116". Lineage: Eukaryota; Metazoa; Chordata; Mammalia; Primates; Hominidae. The record is from RNAcentral.